UCUUGGUUAUUUAAAAACCCCCUCCGCCGAAUCGCUUCGGUCCAAAUCUGAUCCGAAGAGCACAGCACAGGCAUUGGGAGACGAAGAGACAUGUCUUCCAGGGUUUUUGCAAGGUCUUGCAGUGCUUUCAUGGCGGCCAUCAAGAGCUCCACCGCAGCCUCAAUCAUUGCCACUAGGAAUUUCAGUAGGCUAAUCGAUGUAAAUGAGGUUGUAUCAAUAUCACCGGCUCUUGGGAAAUUCCUUGGCAGUGUCUCGAAAUCUUCCCGUCAUGAUGCCACAAGGAAGCUCUGGGAAUACAUCCAGCUGAACAAGCUCCAGAACUCGGAAAACAUUAGAGAGAUCAGAUGUGAUGAGAAUUUGAAGACCCUCUUUGAAGGGAAAGAGAGUGUCGAUUUUUUUGAGAUAACCAAAUUGUUGAAUGAGCAUUUCCUGAAGUGAUACUUUUUUAGUAUCUAAAACGAAAUAGCGGGGCUGGAGGAUGACUGGAAACUGGAAUGAGGAUCCUAAUUGGCAAACUGGGUUCCUGGCUUUAACACUUGAUAUGAGCAAAGAGCUUACAACCGGGUUAAAUGGGUUUUCUUGGAAAUGUGUGCAGAAGGUUUGUCUUGGGCGUUGAGAAGUGCCAAUUGUCAAGGACAACUAACGGGUUUGAAGAUUUGUAGACAGACGCCGAGGGUAUCAGGUGUAUUUUUUGCAAAUGAUUCCAUACUUCUUUGCAAAGCAUCAUUCGGGAGAAAGUAUUAAAUACCACAGGUAUGGUAUCCUGGGGUCAUCCCAGCCCUUGAAUGUAGUGGGGCCCUCCCCUACAUCCAUGAUCCAACCACUCUUACUCCCCCGGGGUACCAUACCCGGGGGUAUUUAAUACCUUCUCCCUGUUCCGGAGGUUUCAAAGAUGAAAGCAGUAUUAAAGUGCUACGUCCGGGCAACAAAUUAAUUUUGAAAUGUCGGCAGUCUUCUUUACCAAGAAUACUAGUGCAGAGGUUCGGGCAUCUAUUUGUUCUUUAAUUGUCAUAUACAGGGAGGGGAUGCAAGAUAAAUAUAUGGGUUUGCUGGCAAUCAUUUGUUUUUGAAAGAAAGAAGUCUUCUGAUACAUUGAGGAGAAAUGCAAGCAAAGUUGAAAGGUUGGAACAAAGAUCUUGUCACAAACCGGUAAAGACAUUCUAAUAAAGGCGGUGCUGUCUUCAAUGCCGAUGACACAAUGCAAUGUUUUCGGCUCUCUUCUAUAAUAUGUAAGAAUGCCAAGCUGAUUAGGAAUUUUUGGUGGGGCAAUGGUGAUAAGACACGAGCUCAUUGGAAUGAUGGAAGAAGGUGUGUUGCCAAAGGAAGCGGGAAGGCUUGGCUUUCGUGAUUUGGAAGCAUUUAAUCUUUGUCUACUUGGUAAGCACGCAUGGAAUUUUGAAGUUGAGAGGAAGGGACUGCACUAUCGAAUUUUUAAGAGCAAAUAUUUUGCCAACUGUUCUUUUCUAGAUUCUCCUACUCGGAAAAGUUUUUUACGGGCAUGGUCUAGCAUUGUUGCGGCUAAGGAGGUACAAUGGGUUGUGGGUAAUGGUAACUCAAUUUGGGAUAAACGUGGAGAAUCAGUGCAUAAUGUCUCACAUGCAUAAACGUGGCGUGGCAUCUGGAAAUGUAGAGUCCAAGGAAUAAUUCAGCGCUUUCUUUGGUCAUGCAUAGCUGAUGCUCUUCCGGUGCUAGCAAACCUUCAUAAACAUGGAAUGGCAGUGGAGGAGCAUUGGCCACUUUGUGGAGCAGAAGCAGAAUCGGUGGAGCAUCUGCAUCUCCAAUGUGUGCGGGCUGCAGAGAGGUGAAGCAAAGCAAGUUGGGUGCCGCCACCUAUGGGUUUUCUCCUCUUGUAAUUGUACCCUUUUUUAAUAUUUUUAUAAAAUACCCCAUUCUGGGAAAAAAAAAAUUUCUAAAAAGUUGUAAUAUAAAUGCUGCUUUUCGAUCA
Molecule: RNA transcript, 1945 nt
Organism: Cornus florida
Lineage: Eukaryota; Viridiplantae; Streptophyta; Magnoliopsida; Cornales; Cornaceae
Gene name: upstream activation factor subunit spp27-like
Exons: 5
Source: RefSeq, a predicted model, not a curated record